This 2987-nucleotide long non-coding RNA is filed under the name Acanthaster planci (crown-of-thorns starfish). RNAcentral describes it as "uncharacterized LOC110987898". The record is from RNAcentral. Lineage: Eukaryota; Metazoa; Echinodermata; Asteroidea; Valvatida; Acanthasteridae.
UCUGUACUGUUAGCUGCCGUCUUGGCCCAAGACUAUUUUGGCCCCACAAGUUUCGACCACGUCGUUCGUCAUCAGCGGACUUCACAUUCACGGUACAUUGCAGGACAGAAUGGCUGGCAUGGAUGGAAACUAAGGCAGGAGAUUGGCCAUUUAACGUCAAGCAACAGGUGAUGUAGGCAGUCAAAUUGAUUGAUUUGCCCCUGUUCGUCACAAAUGACGUGUUCUGACAUGGGGGAGUUGGACAGCAAAACUCUCUACAGACUAUCGGCGCAGCUUCAUGCUCGCGAAUGGAGGGGACUAGCCACAAUGCUUGGCUUCAGCUGUGCGGAAGUCUCCCACUUUGAGGCAAGCCACCCCCAUCAAGUGGUUAAUCAAAUCUACAGCAUGCUGGAUGCCUGGAAAAACAGACAGCGUGACGAUGUGAACCAGACUGAAGCUCUCUGCCGGGCACUGACGGAGAUCGGGAAUGCCCGACUCGCUCAUAAACUGCAGGGAGGAUCCAUGUAACGGUAGAAGUAAACAGCAGUUGUUGUUCGCUGCUUCAAGAAGUACCUAUUUGAAGACGCUACUGUGCAGAGUAUGUCUUUUUUACCAACAAGGAUUUCCAUCAGUAGCCACAGGUAUCUUCUACAGACCAUUACUGCAAUAGCACUUACAUGCUCGUGCACAUUCAUUUUGGCCAGUCAUAAUUACUGUCUUGGUACGAGAAGCCAUGUGUGCAGUGAAGGGGUAGGGGUGGUUGCUGACAUUGCGUACCCCUGGGCACUGGGAGUAGGGGUCCGAGGCAAUACGUGAAUACACUGAGGAAUAGCAUUGCUUUCCAUAAAUUGAUAUGGAAUCAAUGCACUGUCUCAUAUUUUUACCUGCAGGCCUACGUGUAGGGACCAGCUUUGUGAAUUGAAAAUUCAUUAGAAAGCAUUCCAUUUCAGCCUACAUGCCCGGAAUUCAUGUAAAAAGACAUGGACUCCCUUAAGCAGCCUGCAAGGUCAUCGAAGCCACCGGCAGCCAUCUUACUGUGCCGAAUACAAAAGGUCAUACAGUAGCUUGCUCGCCACCGUUGAUCAAAUUUCUUCCUGGUUUCGAUUGUCACAAUAGCAAGCAAGCCAACCAUUGCCUUUGUAUUUGAUCGGUGCAUCGGCACAGUAAAAUAGCCACUGGGGGCUUCAUUCAGUUCAAAGGCGUCCAUGCCUCCAUGUGGAUCUUACCAUUACCAGCGCCGGCAGUCUGAUACGUCAAAGGGCAGUGUGCUUGUGGGGGGUUUGGACCACCACAUAAGCCAUGCAUACAAAGGGGGAGAAGAUAUCAAAAACAUCAAUGUUUUGUGAAGACAUGUGUCUGAAUGGACAGCCUUUGAAUGAUGUACGCACAAGCUGCGUGGGAGUGUGAAAAUCCCUGCAGUAUGAUUGGCCUCAAAAGUCUGGUCCCCAGACUACCCUGCAUUGUAGAUAUUUGUUCUAGAUAUUUUUGUUCACUAUCGUUUCUGGAUUCAUGUUUUCUUGAUAACUGUCAUGUAUAUUAUGCAAGGCACUAGAAUUGUUGAGAAAUUUAAAGGAAUUUAUAUAAGAGCUUAUGAUGAACUGCCUAAAGGCUGGCUCAUACAACAGGCAAAUGCAGUGGGUGAAGUGAAUUUAAUUUUACCUCAUACAAAAAUUGGCAGCGGAAGUUUCAACUUUUGCAAAUUUGCAUUGGCAAUAUUUCAGAUGAUGUUGAAAAUUCACGUUCAUGUUUGUUUUUGCACGAAGUGCGAACCAGUGGGUUCAUGCUUGCGGCAAACUCAAAGGCUGUUUUUCUGGUGAGAAGGCUGUUUUACUGGUGCAUAAGUAUUUACUGUGUUGUUACAUUAGCUGAAACUACUGGUCUUGUUUGUUUUAUGUACUGGCACAGUCUAAAUGGCCUAGGGAAUAUUUAUCUUGGUCCAAAAAAUUUUAUACUAUCAAUGUGUGUGGUCACUGCCCGAGUAGUUGAAGAAUAGUUGAUACUGACCGUUUUUUGCUUCCACCACAUGCACAAGUUACAAAAUAAAUUGUAGCUGACAUGUCAGUUGGGAGACAUUUCAAGUCUUUUGGGGGUUUCCAAUCCCAAGCAAGUUUUCCUGAUUGGUUUGAUUUGACCGGAGACAAAUCCUGAUGGCCCCCUUGAGUGGUGAUAUGCAUUGUGUCGGGUUUUGUAUGGAGCGAGUGUCGCAGAUCAAUGGCAACGUACAUAUACAAUAGCUGCCACGGUGCCAGCCGCCAUUAAAAGGGUCCCCUGUGAUGGCGGUACCUUGGUCACCGGAAUUGUCCUUAGGCCUCGGGUAUUACGAAAAGCAUUUAAUCUUGAGCUGUUCUAUGACUGUCAUUGAAGACAAAGUGCUAGCCAAAGACACAAGUGUGUCUGUAUGUAUUAUUGGAAAGCUGCAAUGUUUUCAAAUUAUUCAGGGUUAUUCGUCAUUUGAAAGUAACACCGACGGGUGAAAUAGUUCCGGGUAAGGAAGUUGACUGAUUCCUAUGGUUACAUUUAUGAUUUACACGUACCUGUUUGUAAUAACUUUCUGAAGGGAUUCAGGCAAUCAACGCAACAGAUUUCAGAUUUUGUUUAAACACACAGGAUGUCCAUUGUUUGUGUCAUAUUGUAGUUGUCAAUAAAGUAUGAGGCUAUUCAGUGCCGGAAUGCCCAUUAAAAAAUAGUUCCGUUGGUGGCAAGCUCAGAUGGCCUUGAUGAGUAUACAAUUUAAAUGUGAUUUUCAGACUUAGUUUGGCACUGCACCCAGCCUUCUUGUGUUUUGUAAGUGCAAUCCAGGUGCUACAUGACAUAAAUUAAAACCAGAAGUUAAAGGUACCUGUCUUUUCUCCACCAUGAGUCUUUUUAUACCUGAAUUCUUCAUUUAACUUCAUUUCGGUACAUCGGAUAAUUAUAAACAAGCCCUAAAGAUUACUUUUAACUCACGGUUUGUGUGGAAUAAAUUGCAACUGAUUGAAAUAAAUCACAUACUAUUUGCAGCAAACAAA